AUUCGAUUAAUUUACUUGCGACCUGAUAAUAUACGAUGGUAACUAAACCAGAAUCAUAAUUUUCCAAAAAUAAACAGUGCAACACAAAAGAACAAGAAAAAUGGCAGGAAGAGAGAUAAAAGGUGUCUGAAGAGUUAAAAAUGGUCCCAUUAGAGAUGAGAAUGUUAUCCCCAUGGGAUCUCCUUGUAUGUACGUUGGUUGGUACCAGGAACACAAAACUAAUGGAGUACACAGGAGUUACGACACUGCGAGAGGGACACAAGCAGAGGCAUGCAGCAGCAGAGAGAAAGAGGCACACAAGCAAGCACAGAGAGAGGCAUUAGCAAUCAACGUAAAAACGGGAUACACAACAGGAACGAACAACAUAUAUAUACUAUAUACACACAUAUUGGUUGUAUAUUCCACACAAAAAUCAUGAUAAAAUGUGACGUCACUCUACCAUAAUAUCAUCAUCCCAAAAAUACUAGUAGAGUUAUAGUAAAGUUGACGGUUAGGUAUUGUACCUUGAAUCACUUAAGAGAUAAAACUUGAAAAAAGAGAUGUAAGACAAUUAUCAUUAUCUUUAAAUCAUUGCUUAUUGUUUGGAAUGUUGAAGACGCACCAUCAUGUACCUUGGAUCAAUCAACUCACUGUACCACUGAUCAAAGAUAAUAGGUACUAUCUUUUCCCCUAAUAUUGCGAUACGGUGUUUAACAUACAUAUAUGCAUGCAGAGCCGAAUCGAACAAACCGACGUUAAACGAACGAAUAACGAACGAUAAAGUUGAGGAAAAGCUCUCUUUCUAUGUCAUAUAUACAAUAUCAUAUAUACUACUACGAAGCACGAACGAUUCAUCCGCUCAUGCGCACAGCACACAUCAUUACAUCAUGGCUGCCACAAUCAGAAUACUGAAAAAACGAGAAACCGGGAUUACAAACCAUAUCAGCACAUUUUCUAUAGUCAGUUUUAAAACGGUUAUUGUGUUGUGAAAGUUGUUUUUUCUAAUCUAAUCAAGCAAAAUUUUUUUUUAUUUGUUCUCUCCCCCCAAAAAAAUUCAUCGUGUACA
Molecule: long non-coding RNA, 1045 nt
Organism: Chrysoperla carnea
Lineage: Eukaryota; Metazoa; Arthropoda; Insecta; Neuroptera; Chrysopidae
Exons: 4
Source: RefSeq, a predicted model, not a curated record